UACGUAGGGGGCAAGCGUUGUCCGGAUUUAUUGGGCGUAAAGAGCGUGUAGGCGGCCUGACAGGUCUGCUGUGAAAACUCGAGGCUCAACCUCGAGAUGUCGGCGGAAACCGUCUGGCUAGAGUCCGGAAGAGGAGAGUGGAAUUCCUGGUGUAGCGGUGAAAUGCGUAGAGAUCCGGAGGAACCCCAGAGGCGAAGGCGGCGCCCUGGCUCGCAACUGACGCUCAGACACGACAGCAUGGGGAGCGAACGGG
Molecule: ribosomal RNA, 253 nt
Filed under: uncultured bacterium
Lineage: Bacteria
Description: partial 16S ribosomal RNA
Rfam family: Bacterial small subunit ribosomal RNA
Source: RNAcentral